Molecule: long non-coding RNA, 649 nt
Filed under: Physcomitrium patens
Lineage: Eukaryota; Viridiplantae; Streptophyta; Bryopsida; Funariales; Funariaceae
Description: long non-coding RNA (PPAT_LNC012293)
Source: RNAcentral
UUUCUUGCAAUCUACUAGUUGGAUUGGAAAAAAAUUUGUAUGUGAGGAUAUAAGACUUGUUUUUCUAUAUAUAUGAGAAUUUUGAGAUAAAUCAAACCAUGAAAAGUAGAGAUAUUGGCUCUGAAAGAUUAGCAUCAAGGUUAGAGAAGGAGGUCGGCUAACAUUCAAGUACGUUUUUGAGGCUAUCGUCUAGUUGGUAAUUUCGAUCCUUUCAAAAUUUUUUGUGCUUAUUUUCAACUUAAUUUUUAAAAAGCAUGCAAAUUUUGAGUUAAGAUCAACAGUUAAUUCAUUAGUAUUUGAGGUUUAAAUCUAUUGUAGGAAUUACUAGGGUUUGAUUUAGGAUUUAGGAUUUGAUUAGGGUUUGAUUUAGGAUUUGGUUAGGAUUUGGUUUAGGAUUUAGAAUUUUAUUAGGAUUUAUUUAAGGUUUAAGAUUUAGUUAGUUUUUGGCCUAAAGUUUGAAUGAAGUUCAAUAGGAUUUUAAUUAAGAUUAAAUUAAGAUUGAAUUGAGAUGUAUUUGAGAUAUAUUUGUGAUCAUUUUAAUAUUUCUUUAAGAUUUCUUAUUGUUUCUUUGUUAUUCCUUUGAGGUUUCUUUGAAUUUGAUUUAAGCUUGUUUAGCAUUGUUAUGGUCUAAUUGGAAUUUAGUUAGUAU